This 579-nucleotide ribosomal RNA is filed under the name Triticum aestivum (bread wheat). RNAcentral's name for it is "partial small subunit ribosomal RNA". The record is from RNAcentral. Lineage: Eukaryota; Viridiplantae; Streptophyta; Magnoliopsida; Poales; Poaceae.
AUGUUACUCGACCAUGACGAACCUACGAACUAUGAGGAAACGAUGAUGAGCCCAGAUUCCGCAAAAUGGCUUGAGGCCGUGAAAUCUGAGAUGGGAUCCAUGUAUGAGAACAAAGUGUGGACUUUGGUUGACUUUCCCGAUGAUCGGCAAUCCAUCGAGAAUAAAUGGAUCUUCAAGAAGAAGACUGACGCUGACGGUAAUGUUACUGUCUACAAAGCUCGACUUGUUGCGAAAGGUUUUCGACAAGUUCAAGGAGUUGAAUACGAUGAGACUUUCUCACCCGUAGAGAUGCUUAAGUCCGUCCGAAUCAUGUUAGCAAUUUCCGCAUUUUAUGAUUAUGAAAUUUGGCAAAUGGAUGUAAAGACUGCAUUCCUGAAUGGAUUUCUGGAAGAAGAGUUGUAUAUGAUGCAACUUGAAGGUUUUAUCGAUCCAAACGUUGCUAACAAAGUGUGCAAGCUCCAGCGAUCCAUUUAUGGACUGGUGCAAGCAUCCGGAGUUGGAAUAAAUGCUUUGAUAGUGUUAUCAAAGCAUAUGGUUUUAUACAGACUUUUGGAGAAGCCUGUAUUUACAAUAAAGUGA